Molecule: ribosomal RNA, 1151 nt
Filed under: Arthrobacter sp.
Lineage: Bacteria; Bacillati; Actinomycetota; Actinomycetes; Micrococcales; Micrococcaceae
Description: bacterial SSU rRNA
Rfam family: Bacterial small subunit ribosomal RNA
Source: RNAcentral
CGGAUAUGACUCCUCAUCGCAUGGUGGGGGGUGGAAAGCUUUUUGUGGUUUUGGAUGGACUCGCGGCCUAUCAGCUUGUUGGUGAGGUAAUGGCUCACCAAGGCGACGACGGGUAGCCGGCCUGAGAGGGUGACCGGCCACACUGGGACUGAGACACGGCCCAGACUCCUACGGGAGGCAGCAGUGGGGAAUAUUGCACAAUGGGCGAAAGCCUGAUGCAGCGACGCCGCGUGAGGGAUGACGGCCUUCGGGUUGUAAACCUCUUUCAGUAGGGAAGAAGCGAAAGUGACGGUACCUGCAGAAGAAGCGCCGGCUAACUACGUGCCAGCAGCCGCGGUAAUACGUAGGGCGCAAGCGUUAUCCGGAAUUAUUGGGCGUAAAGAGCUCGUAGGCGGUUUGUCGCGUCUGCUGUGAAAGACCGGGGCUCAACUCCGGUUCUGCAGUGGGUACGGGCAGACUAGAGUGAUGUAGGGGAGACUGGAAUUCCUGGUGUAGCGGUGAAAUGCGCAGAUAUCAGGAGGAACACCGAUGGCGAAGGCAGGUCUCUGGGCAUUAACUGACGCUGAGGAGCGAAAGCAUGGGGAGCGAACAGGAUUAGAUACCCUGGUAGUCCAUGCCGUAAACGUUGGGCACUAGGUGUGGGGGACAUUCCACGUUUUCCGCGCCGUAGCUAACGCAUUAAGUGCCCCGCCUGGGGAGUACGGCCGCAAGGCUAAAACUCAAAGGAAUUGACGGGGGCCCGCACAAGCGGCGGAGCAUGCGGAUUAAUUCGAUGCAACGCGAAGAACCUUACCAAGGCUUGACAUGGGCCGGAUCGCCGCAGAAAUGUGGUUUCCCCUUUGGGGCCGGUUCACAGGUGGUGCAUGGUUGUCGUCAGCUCGUGUCGUGAGAUGUUGGGUUAAGUCCCGCAACGAGCGCAACCCUCGUUCUAUGUUGCCAGCACGUGAUGGUGGGGACUCAUAGGAGACUGCCGGGGUCAACUCGGAGGAAGGUGGGGACGACGUCAAAUCAUCAUGCCCCUUAUGUCUUGGGCUUCACGCAUGCUACAAUGGCCGGUACAAAGGGUUGCGAUACUGUGAGGUGGAGCUAAUCCCAAAAAGCCGGUCUCAGUUCGGAUUGGGGUCUGCAACUCGACCCCAUGAAGUCGGAGU